GCGGAGGAAAAGAAACCAACAGGGAUUGCCCUAGUAACGGCGAGUGAAGCGGCAACAGCUCAAAUUUGAAAUCUGGCUCUCGGGCCCGAGUUGUAAUUUGUAGAGGAUGCUUUUGAUGCGGUGCCUUCCGAGUUCCCUGGAACGGGACGCCAUAGAGGGUGAGAGCCCCGUCUGGUUGGAUGCCAAAUCUCUGUAAAGCUCCUUCGACGAGUCGAGUAGUUUGGGAAUGCUGCUCUAAAUGGGAGGUAUAUGUCUUCUAAAGCUAAAUACCGGCCAGAGACCGAUAGCGCACAAGUAGAGUGAUCGAAAGAUGAAAAGCACUUUGAAAAGAGAGUUAAAAAGUACGUGAAAUUGUUGAAAGGGAAGCGUUUAUGACCAGACUUGGGCUUGGUUAAUCAUCUGGGGUUCUCCCCAGUGCACUUUUCCAGUCCAGGCCAGCAUCAGUUUUCGCCGGGGGAUAAAGGCUUCGGGAAUGUGGCUCUCUCCGGGGAGUGUUAUAGCCCGUUGCGUAAUACCCUGGCGGGGACUGAGGUUCGCGCAUCUGCAAGGAUGCUGGCGUAAUGGUCAUCAACGACCCGUCUUGAAACACGGACCAAGGAGUCGUCUUCGUAUGCGAGUGUUCGGGUGUCAAACCCCUACGCGUAAUGAAAGUGAACGCAGGUGAGAGCUUCGGCGCAUCAUCGACCGAUCCUGAUGUUCUCGGAUGGAUUUGAGUAAGAGCAUACGGGGCCGGACCCGAAAGAAGGUGAACUAUGCCUGUGUAGGGUGAAGCCAGAGGAAACUCUGGUGGAGGCUCGCAGCGGUUCUGACGUGCAAAUCGAUCG
RNAcentral lists this ribosomal RNA (824 nucleotides) under Fusarium wereldwijsianum. RNAcentral's name for it is "partial large subunit ribosomal RNA". It matches the Rfam family "Eukaryotic large subunit ribosomal RNA", at positions 50 to 904 of the family's 3401-position model. The record is from RNAcentral. Lineage: Eukaryota; Fungi; Ascomycota; Sordariomycetes; Hypocreales; Nectriaceae.